Molecule: ribosomal RNA, 81 nt
Filed under: Bacillus subtilis
Lineage: Bacteria; Bacillati; Bacillota; Bacilli; Caryophanales; Bacillaceae
Also listed under: 6 other names
Description: partial 16S ribosomal RNA
Rfam family: Bacterial small subunit ribosomal RNA
Source: RNAcentral
UUAUCGGAGAGUUUGAUCCUGGCUCAGGACGAACGCUGGCGGCGUGCCUAAUACAUGCAAGUCGAGCGGACAGAUGGGAGC